GCCUCCGGAAGCUCCUGAAACGCCUCCGCCAUUCGGCCAAUGGUGUCCCCAAGAAGCCACAGGACGUGGAGAUGGUGGACGUGACAGCGGAGAACUGAGUGAUUCGGGGCCGUCCCAGUGUGACCAAUAAAAGCUUUCGUUGCAGUCA
Molecule: non-coding RNA, 148 nt
Organism: Meleagris gallopavo (turkey)
Lineage: Eukaryota; Metazoa; Chordata; Aves; Galliformes; Phasianidae
Source: RefSeq, a predicted model, not a curated record